This is an RNA transcript of Lycium barbarum (goji berry), 1599 nucleotides long. RefSeq lists it as uncharacterized. Lineage: Eukaryota; Viridiplantae; Streptophyta; Magnoliopsida; Solanales; Solanaceae. The record is from RefSeq and is a predicted model, not a curated record. The transcript is spliced from 7 exons.
AAUAUAGGGAAGUAGGAAAAGGGCCAAAAAAGGAAAAACACCAUACAGCUUGCUUCUAAUAUCACAGUGAAUUAGUAUGUACAUUGCUGCACCGUUAUCCAUAACGAAUUGAACAUCCUCAACAACAUCAUAGUACCUCAAAACCCACAAUCAAAGUACCAAGAAAUGGAGGCAGCUUCAGUGCUUAGCUCCUCUUCUACUUCUUCUUUUUCACUUUCAAAUAUGCUCUUAUCUUCUUCCUAUAAUACGCUCUUAUCUUCUUCCUAUAAUACCUCAAAACCCCAAGUGAGGUUUAUCUUCUUGAAUUCUUUAUCAAAAUGCAUUUCUUCUUCUGGUUCUUCUCGUUUGCUCUUUUCUUCCCACCACCACAGUAACAGCGUUGGAAGAUUCUCUCUGCUUCAGCCUUCAGCUCUUACAACAGUUGAAGAACAAUCAUCCACAGAUACAUUUUCAGUUCAGCCAAAAAUUGACAAGAGUGGCAGAUUCUGUAGUCCUAGAGCUGCCCGAGAACUAGCUCUGAUGACAAUAUAUGCGGCGUGUUUGGAAGGGUCAGACCCGGUUCGCCUUUUUGAGAAACGGUUGAACAUUAGAAGAGAACCGGGAUAUGAAUUUGAUAAGGAGAUUUUAGUGAAGUACAAUCACAUGAGCUUUGGAGGGCCCCCUGUGAAAACUGAGACGGUUGAAGAAGCUGAUGAACUUCUGAAGACUGAUGAAAAUGAUUCUGAAAUAGAAGCUGAAGUUCUCUCUGCUCCACCAAAGUUGGUAUACAGCAAACUUAUUUUGCGUUUCACACGGAAACUUUUGGUGGCAGUCGAAGAAAAGUGGGAUAGUCACGUGCUUGCAAUAACUAAAGUUGCACCCGCUAAUUGGAAGUGUAUCAGUUCAGAUGGAAUCACCCUCUUUCAAGGUUGCACUUUUUGUUGGUAUCUUCAGAAGACAGAAUUUGUUAAUACGCCCGUCACUAAUGCCAUGAAUUUAUCUUCCAGAAUGAGCCUGCAGGCAGGAUCCUGGAGCUUUCAAUUCUUCAUUUAGCAAUGUCUGAAAUAUCAGUAUUAGGAACACGGCACCAGAUAGUCAUCAAUGAGGCUGUUGACCUUGCGAAACGAUUCUGUGAUGGGGCAGCACCCCGCAUUGUCAAUGGCUGCCUCCGGACAUUUGUAAGGGAUCUAGAAAUAGCAAAGGAUGCCCGAGUUAACCAAUCAUUGUUUACUUGACGCGUCCAAGAUAAAAGAUUUGAUGAAUACUCAAACAGUUAUAUCUUCAACAUACCUGAGACACCCUUUCGGGGCAUUUCUUGCAAAGCCUGGAGAAGAGAUUACCAGUGCCUUGAGAUCCAGCUACCAGGACAAAUUUGUGCUCUCAUCCAAUAUAAGGAAGAACUGUAUAUCAAGAUGUUAACAUUGCCAAUUGUCAAAUGUAUGGUUAAUAUUAACAUGUCCAUGAUGUAAGCAAUGUAUAUUGUAUUGCCUUAUUCAUUCUGCAGUCUGUAUUUCGGUAUACCGAAUUUUUAAAGGCUUUAAGCCUGACAUGGAAUUUGAGUUUGUAAUAGCUUUUUAAAGAGCCAAUAUGUGUGGUGGUUUAUGGUUUGAAAAUGAAUAA